RNAcentral lists this ribosomal RNA (492 nucleotides) under uncultured bacterium. RNAcentral describes it as "partial 16S ribosomal RNA". It matches the Rfam family "Bacterial small subunit ribosomal RNA", at positions 29 to 507 of the family's 1533-position model. The record is from RNAcentral.
AGUGAACGCUGGCGGUAGGCCUAACACAUGCAAGUCGAACGGCAGCACAGUAAGAGCUUGCUCCUACGGGUGGCGAGUGGCGGACGGGUGAGGAAUACAUCGGAAUCUACUUUUUCGUGGGGGAUAACGUAGGGAAACUUACGCUAAUACCGCAUACGACCUACGGGUGAAAGCAGGGGAUCUUCGGACCUUGCGCGAUUGAAUGAGCCGAUGUCGGAUUAGCUAGUUGGCGGGGUAAAGGCCCACCAAGGCGACGAUCCGUAGCUGGUCUGAGAGGACGAUCAGCCACACUGGAACUGAGACACGGUCCAGACUCCUACGGGAGGCAGCAGUGGGGAAUAUUGGACAAUGGGCGCAAGCCUGAUCCAGCCAUACCGCGUGGGUGAAGAAGGCCUUCGGGUUGUAAAGCCCUUUUGUUGGGAAAGAAAAGCAGCAGGUUAAUACCCCGCUGUUCUGACGGUACCCAAAGAAUAAGCACCGGCUAACUUCGUG